Non-coding RNA from Coniella lustricola, 91 nucleotides. NCBI's taxonomy places the organism in Eukaryota, Fungi, Ascomycota, Sordariomycetes, Diaporthales, Schizoparmaceae. The record is from the annotation of a GenBank genome assembly.
GGUUUAGUGGUGUAGUGGUUAUCACGUCAGUCUCACAUCUACAUUCUGUAAUGUGCACUGAAGGUCCCCAGUUCGAUCCUGGGCUGAAUCA